Molecule: ribosomal RNA, 284 nt
Filed under: uncultured bacterium
Lineage: Bacteria
Description: partial 16S ribosomal RNA
Rfam family: Bacterial small subunit ribosomal RNA
Source: RNAcentral
UGGGGAAUAUUGCACAAUGGGCGAAAGCCUGAUGCAGCAACGCCGCGUGAGUGAUGAAGGUCUUCGGAUUGUAAAGCUCUGUCUUUUGGGACGAUAAUGACGGUACCAAAGGAGGAAGCCACGGCUAACUACGUGCCAGCACCGCGGUAAUACGUAGGUGGCGAGCGUUGUCCGGAUUUACUGGGCGUAAAGGGUGCGUAGGCGGAUGUUUAAGUGAGAUGUGAAAUACCCGGGCUUAACUUGGGUGCUGCAUUUCAAAGCUGGAUAUCUAGAGUGGCAGGAGA